CAGCAGCCGCGGUAAUACGGAGGAUCCUAGUGUUAUCCGGAUUUAUUGGGUUUAAAGGGAGCGUAGGCGGGAGGUCAAGUCAGCUGUGAAAUGUAUCUGCUUAACGGGUACACUGCAGUUGAAACUGGUUUUCUUGAGUGCGUAAGAGGCAGGCGGAAUUCGUUGUGUAGCGGUGAAAUGCUUAGAUAUGACGAGGAACUCCUAUUGCGAAGGCAGCUUGCUGGGUCGUUACUGACGCUGAUGCUCGAAGGUGCGGGGAUCAAACAGGAUUAGAUACCCUGGUAGUCCGCACAGUAAACUAUGGAUACUCUCUGCCGGCGAUAUAUUGUCGGUGGCCAAGCGAAAGCGUUAAGUAUCCCACCUGGGGAGUACGUUCGCAAGAAUGAAACUCAAGGGAAUUGACGG
This 405-nucleotide ribosomal RNA is filed under the name uncultured bacterium. Its description in RNAcentral is "bacterial SSU rRNA". It matches the Rfam family "Bacterial small subunit ribosomal RNA", at positions 509 to 916 of the family's 1533-position model. The record is from RNAcentral.